This is a long non-coding RNA of Episyrphus balteatus (marmalade hoverfly), 1259 nucleotides long. RefSeq lists it as uncharacterized. NCBI's taxonomy places the organism in Eukaryota, Metazoa, Arthropoda, Insecta, Diptera, Syrphidae. The transcript has 4 exons. The record is from RefSeq and is a predicted model, not a curated record.
UACAGGGCUAUUCUGGGCAACCUCACUGAUGUCUCACAAGUCACAAUAACCUCAUAACUCCAGUUAAACUCGAUUUUGUGACUUUUUCGUAUUCUAACGAAAACCUCACAGUCACAAGAACCUCAUAAGGUGUGGUGAGUUUGAUUUUGUGAGGUUUUUCGAAUUCUGGCGUACCCUCACAACUUGUGAGCCUCAUAAAAAUUGUAAAAAUUGUGAUCUCCUUCAGAGCAGGAAACUCAGGACUAUCGUCACAGUAGCUUUUGCUGUAUCGAAAUCAAAUUCUCAUUGAAUCUGGAAAAAAGCCUUCAAUCAGGUUAAAACUAUCAAGAGCAAGUGCUCUCCUAAACAGUACGAGACGAACAAAAUAAGCCCAGAGUGGGCAACGUUAUUUUUGACCCAGCAUUAGGAUUUCAUGCGUGAGACUCAAACACCGUUGAAAGAAAGAAUUUACAAACUAGCUGCCAGUCCAGUGGACUGGUUGGUUACAAGAAACACAAAGCUGUGGAAGACAUCGAUUCUGACAAUUGUCCACCAUCUUUGCUGAAGAAGCUUUCCAAUAAACAAAGUAAUGCUUAAAAACCUGCGUCAAGCCACCGAAGUUGGUGUCAAUCGCAAACAACAUAAAAAGACUAUAUAGCAAAACACUUAAAAGCAGCAGCGGCAACAUCAUCGACAAGUGCGCAUACAACAAUUACAACAACUUCAGUAUAUCAGCCCCAAACACCAAAUAUAAUAAACAGAGUCUAAUGACGUCCGCAGUUGAAGUUCCUUAGCCUAAUUGGCAAUUUUUAGUCAUCACAGGUUGACACAAUAAAUCAACAGGCCAAAAUCAGCCUCCAGUUGACCACAAGAUACAAAUAAGGCCAAUUGUCAAUGAUUCAGGCCUUUAAAUCAUUCCACACUACAACGGCCAACUCACAAUCAUCACCCACGGCAACAGUAGCAACAUCAGCAAUAGCAACAAGAAGCCAAUGCCAAAGCAUUAGCGUAUGCACUUAUGCAGCCAUAAUGCAACUACCAGACCAUAAGCAAUACCCCAAGUUCCGCAAACACUGUGUGUCUCAAUUUUGUUUUUACCGAUCUCAAAUUCACCAAAAGAUCACCAAUCGCAGACUCUGUUGAAAAAUUUAAUUUGUUUUGAUUUACAAAAAUCUUUCCUAAAUUCUAGAAAUUAGAGAUUUAUAUUUUUUUAGAAAAAUUAUUUUAUUAAAACGCAUCUUACAAUAAAAAUAACGUAUGAAUGCAACCAAAAUCAUAAA